GUGCUUGCUUCAACAGUACAUAUACUAAAAUUGGAAUGAUACAGAGAAGAUCAGCGUGGCCCCUGCUCAAGGAUGACAUGAAAAUUUAUGAAGCGUUCCAUAUUUUU
Small nuclear RNA from Prolemur simus (greater bamboo lemur), 107 nucleotides. Lineage: Eukaryota; Metazoa; Chordata; Mammalia; Primates; Lemuridae. The record is from Ensembl.